GACCAACUUUUGUGUGGAUCACCAUUGGAGGGUUUUUACUUUGGAGUCUCAUGGAGGUCACCAUCUUACCAUACUACUCAUUUGAGGAAGUACAAAAUUCAAUCUCAUUGCAUGCUUGUUUUUGUUUUGUUCGACAUCUACAAGGUGAUUCUAGGGUUUGGAUUUUGGUUCAAUAGUUUUAAUUGUUAAAGCUUCCGAUAUGCUUGUUUUAAAAUUUUUAAAAUUUAUUUUUUACUAUAUUAUUAGAAUCUAACAGUGGUAUCAGAGCCAUCCUUGUUAGAUUCG
This 285-nucleotide long non-coding RNA is filed under the name Elaeis guineensis (African oil palm). RNAcentral describes it as "long non-coding RNA (EGUI_LNC056525)". Lineage: Eukaryota; Viridiplantae; Streptophyta; Magnoliopsida; Arecales; Arecaceae. The record is from RNAcentral.